UCUGCUGUUUGUAUUUUCUGAAAGGCUGAAAUGAAAAGGAUAAGUAAAACCUGUACAUUGGAGCCACAUUAUUCAUUUCUGCCCUUAACAUUUUCCGAAGCCUCUUAAACCGAAAAAGAUAAGAUCUGUCAACACAAACAUAGUAGAAAUAUAUGUGAAACCAUCUGAGCCUGAGCCCACGUAAUUCAAAUCAUCAACUGCAGUGAAAGGAGAUGAAAAAUAAACAUAUAAUUCUUGCCAAAUAUAAUUAUUGCCCUCAAGGUACAAGCACAUUGCUCAAAAUAAUUUAUCAUGAUAACAAGACCACAAAAGCACUAUAAACAGCACUCUAUAGGUCCUCUUACAGAACUUGGUCACAAGCCAAUGCUAAACUUAUUUAACCAUACAACUAGUUUCAAGGAGAUGCAUCUUGUAUGACUGGGGGGUAGCAACUAUGCUGCAUCAACUUUGCAACAUCAAACAGCCAGCGUAAGUUGAAGAAGGCUUGUAUGUUCCUUGCAUACAUUACAAAAAUACACUACUACAUGUUUAACGGGGAACUGCAGUCCUGCCUGUUGUAGUGGAUAGCAACAAAGACUCCAAACACAAUGAUCCGUUUUAUUACUGGCCAUUCUUAUGACCGUUUCUCCUUCAAAUUCAGGUUCAUGCCCUCUUCCCUGCUCUAGAUAGAAAAUAAACCAAAAAAAAAACUUCAUGAUUAAUUAGAGGCAGAAGUGACUUCCAGUAGUCAGCAAUGGCCAAAUACUAUCUUUUUUUUUUUUUUUUUCUGAUGGAGAAAGAUAAACACAGAAGCUUCAUGUCCUUAUUUAAAAUAAAAGUCUAAGGACAACAUAGCAUUUUCUUUUUUUCUUUGACAAAAGAUUUUUUUCAACACCAAUCACCGAAAAACACUACUGUACAAACCAGGAGGUUUUUUCAAAGAUCUAAUCUAUAUCUCAACUUAAUAAAUAAAGAAAGUCUGAACUUGGAGAACAUGACAAUUCAAGCAAAUCAAUUUCUUUGAGCAACAACAAGUUAAAGGAAAAAAAUCAAACCGGCUGCUGUAAACAAUAUACUAUUUUCAGUUUCAUGGCUAUGGUUAGAUGUCAGUACUGUCACGGACUUAGUUGGUUUUGCCAAAGUUAAACACCACUCUUGUGUGUUCAUCCGCAAAGGAUCAAUCUCCCCAAAAUCUUUUAUAGUCUCUUAAGGACUUGCAAAAGAAAAGAUGGGUUAGAAGAAGCGUUUAACUUAGGAUCCCACAAGCAGUCAUUUCAACAAACAUUUGAUAGACAAUGCAAAUUACAAACAUAGACUUCACAAAUUUUGAACGAUCACGUAACAAAGGGUCCAAGAUGAUCCGUCAUGACCAAAAGUCUCCAUAAAUGCUUAUAUGAUACUGCUGUGGAACAAGAUAGCGAACCACCUCUAGACACUAUCCCAAAGGCUCAUCCAGUCAUGUGCCACCUAUGUAGCUCCUGGGUGUUGUGCUGGUUGACACUCCGCACCACUCAACGAAGCUAGAAAAACCCCAAAAUGGCUGUCUGGAUAGUCUAUUUUUGGACUGUUUUGCCUCUGCACAAUAACUGCAUACAACCUACAUUUACAAGACUGAAACAACCACAAAACCAAAUCAAAAUAAGAUUGUUAAGCCUACUGCAAGCCCUCUAUAUACUGUGCAAAGCACGAACAAAACUGGAAGAUAAGACAUACACGAACAUUAUAUCAAACACCGUGUUUACAUCUUUGUCUGUGACAGUACAGUACAUGCUCUUUGACAUGGCAUUUCAUGGGUUAUAUUUAGACAUCAACUCUGUGCCAAUCUAGCACUCUGCCAAUUUGCACUUAAUAAAACCGCCAGUAGUAUGCCACUUGGUACAUGCAAAAAUCAAAUAGAAAAGGCAAGUAUAUAUAUGAACACAACAACCACAAGCGAUCUGCAAUAACUAAAUAUAAAAUAGCUCUUAAUACCACCAACAGUCCUAUAUCAGAUAAAGCUAUAAUGUAAUUUGGUAUCGUGAUCAUCAACAACCUCAAAAGUGCAGCUGAAUAUCACUUCUUUUCAAAAACAAGGCCCAUGUGAUUUGUGACAAUAUGACAUCAGGGCAAAAACUAAUACUGGUUCAUCGCUCAACUUGAGACCUACUGUACAAUCUCUAGUAGGACCCUACCAGAGUUGGAACAUGAUAAGCCACAUAAUACUGGUGUCAUUCACCAGUUCGAUACUCACAUUAGACAUGCAAACAGGACGUGAAUUCUUCUGGUCUAGUGUACAGAACUUAGAUACAGAUAUGGAAAUCACAUGGAGAGAAGCAUACACAAGGUAAAUCCAGGAAAAGGAAAGAUGAAAACAUCGCUUUUAAUAUAAGUUACUAGCAACCAACAAGAGGGAGACUUGGAGACAAAGAUGAAAGCAUAAGUUUUUUCUUCUUACACUCAUGGGGUCCCUUUCAGUAUGACGAUUACAUUUUUGAGGCAAAUGAUAGUGUUAGAUUAAAGCUACACUUGCAAUAAGAAAAAAAUGGCCUUCCGCGGUCAUAGCUGCCAAUACCAGUAAGCCAUACCAUGGAAUUCCAAGCUGACGAAAGCCUGUUUGUACUAUAGCCAACCACAUCUUGACCUAAUGCACAAAAUGGAUUCCAAUAUAUCGCAUUGCUUCGAUGAGCUCCACACCAACCAUAUCUUGACCAACCGCAUAAAAUGGAUCUCUAUAUACUGCAUUACUACAUUCAAGAGCAGGCCUAAAUGGAUCUCUAUAUACUACAUUGACGAUCAGGCCUAAAUAGUACAAAUCUCAUACUUAUUAUACUAUAUCACGAAUGACAAUUGAAAGACAUCCAAUCUUCCGCUUUGUUUCAGAAAAGACAAAUGCCAAGUUUUCCUACUUGUGCGAAGAAAUUUAAGUAGAAACCUGAAUUUAGAUGUGCUUUUACGAAGGAUGUGCCUUCAACUAUAGAUUAUGUAUCCUAAACAGAAAUAAAGAAGCCUGAUUUGGAACCGAUGAUUCACAAAAUAAGAUGCAAACAAGAACAAGGCGAUUCUCACCUCUUCGAUGGAGAUUACUUGUACCAUACUAAAACCUAAGACACCCUUUACAUCAAACUUGAUACCCACGGCCAGGUUUCGCUGAUCGACAUGCUGAAGAAAACAACAAACCCUCUAUCACGUUUUAACGUUUCCACCACAGUCACUAGAAUCCCAAGUCCCUCAUACUCAAAAGAACGGCCUAAUCUGGCGGCACGGGAAGGAUCUAUCACCUAAUAAAGCCGAGCGAAUCUGUCCUCGUUGUCGAGCAGCCGACCGACGACCGAGCUGGGGAUGAAGCCAGCGAGGCCAUCGCCCCCCACCGGAGGCAGGCUCGAGCCUCGUCGCCACCGCCUUCGCCGAGGCAAGCGCGGGUUGGAGGCCGAAUUGGCGACGAGAGGCAGA
This 3408-nucleotide long non-coding RNA is filed under the name Musa acuminata (dwarf banana). RNAcentral describes it as "long non-coding RNA (MACU_LNC006787)". The record is from RNAcentral. Lineage: Eukaryota; Viridiplantae; Streptophyta; Magnoliopsida; Zingiberales; Musaceae.